This 492-nucleotide ribosomal RNA is filed under the name uncultured bacterium. RNAcentral describes it as "partial 16S ribosomal RNA". It matches the Rfam family "Bacterial small subunit ribosomal RNA", at positions 29 to 507 of the family's 1533-position model. The record is from RNAcentral.
AGUGAACGCUGGCGGUAGGCCUAACACAUGCAAGUCGAACGGCCGCACAGUAAGAGCUUGCUCUUACGGGUGGCGAGUGGCGGACGGGUGAGGAAUACAUCGGAAUCUACUUUUUCGUGGGGGAUAACGUAGGGAAACUUACGCUAAUACCGCAUACGACCUACGGGUGAAAGCAGGGGAUCUUCGGACCUUGCGCGAUUGAAUGAGCCGAUGUCGGAUUAGCUAGUUGGCGGGGUAAAGGCCCACCAAGGCGACGAUCCGUAGCUGGUCUGAGAGGAUGAUCAGCCACACUGGAACUGAGACACGCUCCAGACUCCUACGGGAGGCAGCAGUGGGGAAUAUUGGCCAAUGGGCGCAAGCCUGAUCCAGCCAUACCGCGUGGGUGAAGAAGGCCUUCGGGUUGUAAAGCACUUUUGUUGGGAAAGAAAAGCAGCAGGUUAAUACCCCGCUGUUCUGACGGUACCCAAAGAAUAAGCACCGGCUAACUUCGUG